CCUCUGGUGCACCGGUUGUUAACCAAUAGCAUAGCCGGGUAGCCAAGUUUGGAAGGGAUAAACGCUGAAGGCAUCUAAGCGUGAAGCCCCCCUCAAGAUGAGAUAUCCCAUGCGAAAGCAGUAAGACCCCUUGAAGAACACGAGGUUGAUAGGGCAGAGGUGGAAGUGCAGUAAUGCAUGCAGCUGACUGUUACUAAUAGGUCGAGGGCUUGAUCAA
This 217-nucleotide ribosomal RNA is filed under the name Lachnospiraceae bacterium. Its description in RNAcentral is "partial 23S ribosomal RNA". It matches the Rfam family "Bacterial large subunit ribosomal RNA", at positions 2706 to 2925 of the family's 2925-position model. The record is from RNAcentral. Lineage: Bacteria; Bacillati; Bacillota; Clostridia; Lachnospirales; Lachnospiraceae.